UACGAAGGGGGCUAGCGUUGUUCGGAAUUACUGGGCGUAAAGCGCGUGUAGGCGGGUCUUUUAAGUCAGGGGUGAAAUGCCCAAGGCUCAACCUUGGAACUGCCUUUGAUACUGGAGACCUUGAGUCCGGGAGAGGUGAGUGGAAUUGCGAGUGUAGAGGUGAAAUUCGUAGAUAUUCGCAAGAACACCAGUAGCGAAGGCGGCUCACUGGCCCGGAACUGACGCUGAGACGCGAAAGCUAGGGGAGCGAACAGG
Molecule: ribosomal RNA, 255 nt
Filed under: uncultured bacterium
Lineage: Bacteria
Description: partial 16S ribosomal RNA
Rfam family: Bacterial small subunit ribosomal RNA
Source: RNAcentral